RNAcentral lists this small nuclear RNA (103 nucleotides) under Tupaia belangeri (northern tree shrew). Lineage: Eukaryota; Metazoa; Chordata; Mammalia; Scandentia; Tupaiidae. The record is from RNAcentral.
GUGCUCGCUUCGGAAGUACGUAUACUAAAAUUGGAAAGAUACAGAGAUUAGCACGGCCCUGCACAAGGAUGACACGCAAAUUCGUGAAGCGUUCCAUAUUAAA